RNAcentral lists this small nuclear RNA (25 nucleotides) under Arabidopsis thaliana (thale cress). RNAcentral's name for it is "snRNA_09416". Lineage: Eukaryota; Viridiplantae; Streptophyta; Magnoliopsida; Brassicales; Brassicaceae. The record is from RNAcentral.
AAUUCUUUUCCCAUUUUUCUCAUCA